CGGGGUGCAGCAGGCGCGAAAACUUUGCAAUACACGAAAGUGUGACAGGGCUAUCCCGAGUGCCAUCCGCUGAGGAAGGCUUUUACCCAGUCUAGAACGCUGGGGGAAUAAGGAGAGGGCAAGUCUGGUGUCAGCCGCCGCGGUAAUACCAGCUCUCCGAGUGGUGUGGAUGUUUAUUGGGCCUAAAGCAUCCGUAGCUGGCUAAGUUAGUCCCUUGUUAAAUCCACCGAAUUAAUCGUUGGAUUGCGGGGGAUACUGCUUGGCUAGGGGACGAGAGAGGCAGACGGUAUUUCCGGGGUAGGGGUGAAAUCCUAUAAUCCCGGGAAGACCACCAGUGGCGAAGGCUGUCUGCUAGAACGCGCCCGACGGUGAGGGAUGAAAGCUGGGGGAGCGAACCGGAUUAGAUACCCGGGUAGUCCCAGCUGUAAACGAUGCAGGCUAGGUGUUUGGACGGCCACGUGCCGUUCUAGUGCCGCAGGGAAGCUGUUAAGCCUGCCGCCUGGGGAGUACGAUCGCAAGAUUGAAACUUAAAGGAAUUGGCGGGGGAGCA
This 550-nucleotide ribosomal RNA is filed under the name uncultured archaeon. RNAcentral describes it as "bacterial SSU rRNA". It matches the Rfam family "Archaeal small subunit ribosomal RNA", at positions 326 to 878 of the family's 1478-position model. The record is from RNAcentral.